CUUGACUGUAGCCUGGAAUUGGGUUCGGGCUUUUCUUGCGCAGACUAGGUGGGAGGCUAUGAAGAUUUCCUUCCGGGGAAGUUGGAGCCAACAGUGAGAGACCACUCUGGAAAGGCUAGAAUCCUCAUGGUGAUCCUUGAAUCAGGACACUUGACAGUUUCAGGUGGGCAGUUUUUCUGGGGCGGAAGCCUCAUAAAGGGUAACUGAGGCGCGCAAAGGUCCCCUCAGUCUGGACGGAAAUCAGACAACGAGUGUAAAGGCAAAAGGGGGCUUGACUGCAAGACCUACAAGUCGAGCAGGAGCGAAAGCUGGCCUUAGUGAUCCGACGGUACCGCGUGGAAGGGCCGUCGCUCAACGAAUAAAAGUUA
This 368-nucleotide ribosomal RNA is filed under the name uncultured organism. Its description in RNAcentral is "bacterial LSU rRNA". It matches the Rfam family "Bacterial large subunit ribosomal RNA", at positions 2099 to 2465 of the family's 2925-position model. The record is from RNAcentral.